UACAGAGGUCUCAAGCGUUGUUCGGAUUCAUUGGGCGUAAAGGGUGCGUAGGCGGCGCGGUAAGUCGGGUGUGAAAUCUCGGAGCUUAACUCCGAAACUGCAUUCGAUACUGCCGUGCUUGAGGACUGGAGAGGAGACUGGAAUUUACGGUGUAGCGGUGAAAUGCGUAGAUAUCGAGAGGAACACCAGUGGCGAAGGCGAGUCUCUGGACAUUUCCUAACGCUGAGGCACGAAAGCCAGGGGAGCAAACGGG
RNAcentral lists this ribosomal RNA (253 nucleotides) under uncultured bacterium. RNAcentral describes it as "partial 16S ribosomal RNA". It matches the Rfam family "Bacterial small subunit ribosomal RNA", at positions 524 to 776 of the family's 1533-position model. The record is from RNAcentral.